Anneissia japonica is the source of this 652-nucleotide long non-coding RNA. RefSeq lists it as uncharacterized. The transcript has 3 exons. The record is from RefSeq and is a predicted model, not a curated record. NCBI's taxonomy places the organism in Eukaryota, Metazoa, Echinodermata, Crinoidea, Comatulida, Comatulidae.
AAAAAAACCCAAAAAACCAAUAAGUAUUAAACAACUGUUAUCGAUCUCAUUAUCGCACUUUGUAUGUAGCGCCCUCUUGCGGUUUUAUUAUCUUGUUUAUGUUUUCUGUACGUUGCAUUAUGGGGUAGCUUUCCUCUGUUUGCCUUUGCGCGUGGGUUUUAAAUUCAGUAGCAUGUACCGGUUGAAGGUAAAAACAUGUGUGGCUACUAAUUAAGUUUUUGAAUCCUGUAUAUUAUGGUAUUGUCAUACCUGAUUGCGGUUGUAAUCCUGAUGAUAAGGAUAGCUUUUGAUGAAAGAUCUUUGUAUUGAUGCUAGCUUCAGUGUGCAGUUGUAUUGCGCCAUAAUUUAUUCACCAGGUCGGUGCGAAGUGACGAAAUAAAUUAGUCUGACAAACUACAGGAACUCGUCUCGUAUCCUACUUUGCGUGUAAUAGUUUGGCGCCCUCAGUGUUAUCUGGCUAGAUACCACUACAACAACAAUGAAUGAUAAUGGGAAAAUUAAUUUCAAUGAUGGUGUGAAGUGAUUUUGUACAAGAAUAUACAAUCUGAUCAAACAGUGUUUGUGCAAGAAUAUACAAAUCUGAUCAAACAGUGUUUGUUGACUUUAAAGCUCUGUCUACACUAUCAAAGUUUCUUUGAAAUAAAACCUGUUG